UCUCUUUCUGGAGAUCUCUCUUUAGUGAAGCUUUCCCCUGUGAACCUGGAGUCUUCUGAUAUGGGCGAUUGAUGCUGGUGGCUGGUUUGUGGUGGUUCAACAGUCAGUCACUGUGGCUGCGGAGUCACUAAAGGUGUUACUGGAGCCAUUGUACGGAUGGAUGUCCUGUUGGUGUAGGAGGGACCUACUUGGCCAGAAAAUGCCCAAGGUUGCCUCUACCUCCUGUGUGCCCUGCCUUCGGCUUCCCCACGCAUCUCCCUUCUGAGGCCCUGGAGGCCGGCCAUCCCUUGGCUGAAAUGUAUUCCCAGAGCGAAGAACUCAAAGGAGAUUUGUUUUGCAGAGCUUUCCUUUGCUCAGUGUGCAGUUUCAUUUCUGAUCAUGUUCCCGAUGUUCCCUCUGAUGAAUUGUAGCGCUUUGCUAGAAUGUAACUUGCUGUUUUGCUGAGUACCUAGUGCUGAAGGAAAGGUCUGGAACUGGGAGAUCCAGGAGUAUAAUGUCCUUUAUCAGGAGGACAAGCAGCCUCCAAGCUGGGAAUCACACACAGCAUGGGAAGACCUGCUUUUAAAGGCCUGGUACGUCAAAAGCCAAUGCUGGCUAUUGGGCUGGGGGCUCCCAAGUCACCUGUAAGCCAAGGAACCAUCAGUCACAAGACACAGCAGACUGAGGCCUGCCCCUGGAGACUGAUGCUCCAUCACUGGAGGUGUUCAGGACCGGGUAGGAUAGGGCCCUGGGCAGCUUGAACUAGUGCCUGAUUUAGUGGUUGGCUACACUAUCUGUAGCACAGGGUUGGAACUAAAUGAUCUUGGAGGUCCCUUCUAGCCCAAGCUAUUCUAGGAUUCUCAAACAAACAUUCAGAAAUAUUAGUUUAUUUUCUGGAAAACAAAGAAAAUAUAAGAUAGCAACCACCAUCAGUCCCACCAACAGUAAUGCACCUUGCACUUGCUUGGUUUCUUUUUUUCCUGAGAAUAAGGAAGCUCUUCUGGCACAUGGCAGCACUGUGCCACCAUCCUGGUCUCCUGCUCUCACCUUUUGAAUGACUGUAUCUCAGUACCUGCAGGGGAUUGUAGUGAGGUUUUGGUGAUGGUCCUGGGGACAGUCCAGUGGUUAUGAGCUGUCACAAGACAUGUCACCCACAUGUUAUGAGGUUGUGAGGUGUCGCCCACAGCAGCAAGCAGUGUACAAGGCUGCUGAGUGCUGGGUGAGGAUGAUGAUACCACUGAUCUCACCGUCUCCCAG
This 1236-nucleotide long non-coding RNA is filed under the name Gallus gallus (chicken). Its description in RNAcentral is "lncRNA (ENSGALG00010008849.1)". Lineage: Eukaryota; Metazoa; Chordata; Aves; Galliformes; Phasianidae. The record is from RNAcentral.